CAAGCCCACUCAUCCACACCUCCUGCUCAAACCCUAAACUCACCAAUCCCCUCCAUAUAAACGCCGCCUCUAAGGAUUCCUCAAUGGCCGCUUAGCUCUAGGUAGAACCCCACCCCUCAAUUCAUCCGCCGCCAUGCCAGCGCCAAGCCAGAUCUGCGGGCUCCGGGCAGGGGAUGCCUCAUCGUUUUUUUUCGUUCGUUCUAAUCGGUUCUUCGCAAGUGAAGUGAGAUGGCAGUGACGACUCGGCUUGCAUGUGACCGAGCGUUGCGACGGAAGACAAAUUGACGAGCCUCCAACGGCUCAAGUCCAAGCGACGUGUGGCAUGACUGUAAUGGUGAUGGGAACACUCGUGGGAAACAGUGUCUCGUUGCAGAGGAGCACGAGCCCAAGCACGCCACCACUCAACGCCAUGCGCCAUGAGUUCCAUCAUCUUUUUGUGGGGUUGCCAUUGCCACGAGCUCUAUGUAUAAAAUGGGUUGUUCAGAUCAUAAUAAUCAAAACAAUGGUUCUGUUUUAAUA
This is a long non-coding RNA of Zea mays, 519 nucleotides long. RefSeq lists it as uncharacterized. The record is from RefSeq and is a predicted model, not a curated record. Lineage: Eukaryota; Viridiplantae; Streptophyta; Magnoliopsida; Poales; Poaceae. The transcript has 2 exons.